UUGGAUUCUGUUCUUUAGCAUGAUGUAACAUGUGAAACAUUUAAUGAACCUUAACACUUAGAGGAAGGAGAAGUCGUAACAAGGUUUCUGUAGGUGAACCUGCAGAAGGAUCAUUUGUGAACAAUGCUCAUGUCAAUGAUGCUUGGUGGCAUGCACCUUGUUAGUUGUAGCAUGACAGCUUGAUACUUAUCUAAACGCUUUCAUCAACUGUCUUCUGACAGCAAUGAAUGCAUCAAUUCAAAACAAUAUGAAGAGUGCAGCCAAAUGCAGUAAUCAUUGCAAAUUGCAGAAUUCCGUGAGUCAUUUUUCUUGAAUGUAGGCAUGUUCUUGGGCCACCCCUAAGGACAUCAUUUACUCAGUGCAUCUUUGUUAAUGGUGUGCUCCACAUCAUGCAUUAUGUGUGUGUGAUGUGGUAUACUCUUCUUUGCAGUUAUGCAAUACACAUUCGUUUUGUCCAACAUCUGAAUGAAUGGCUUAAACCUGCUGAAUUUAAGCAUAUUAGUAAGCAGAGGAACCCCAUCAAACUUGGAUUUUGUAAGUAGUUGCGAAUGAACACAAAUUUGAUCACUUUGGCAAUCUGUACACAUUGCUGUGUAACAAUUUGUAUACGUUGGCACAGUGCUAUCAAAGCUGCAUGCAAGUGUUUUUUGAAAGGAUACAACAUGGGAUGUGAUAUUCAUGUGUGUGUGCCUGCUUUGUCCACAGCCUGUGCUGUAUGAAUCACAUUUCUUGCAACUGAAAUGCUAAUGGCAUGGUAAAGUUCAUGUGACAUGACACAAGCUUGAGAUUCAUGAUGUGCAAGUACCAUGAGGGAAAUGUGAAAAGGACUUUGGAAAGAGAAUUAAAUAAAGCCUGCAUUUGCUGACAAUGAAAGCAAGUGUGGAUGUUCAUGUAAUUGUUACUGCAUCAAUCAAUGUUCAUCUUGGUUACUGCAUGCUUUAUAUUACAGCUCAGAACAUGAAGUGUGUGUAACAGCUCUGCUUUGAUUUUUCCCACAUGGGAUCAGUUGAAACAUUGUGAGAGCACUCUUCAGUUUCCUUAUGUACCCACCAGCUUUGUCCACUCGCGUGUUGGCACACAUGUAAUGAUGAUGUGUUUAUGCAAGAUACUUCUGUGCUCAACAACAUGUUGUGUCAAUCCUCACUUGACCCGUCUUGAAACACGGACCAAGGAGUCUGGCAAGUGUGCAAACCAACUUUCUGUAGAGAUUUGUAUGUAAUGAACAUGUUUGUAUCAUUAUUGCACCACCAAUCAAUAUUCAGCUCGUUGCUUAUUUGAAUGUGAGCAUUGUUGCUAGGACCCGAAAGAUGGUGAACUAUGCUUGCAUAACAUGAGUUCAGAGGAAACUCUGAUGGAAGUUUGUAUCGGUACUGACGUGCAAAUCGUUCGUCACAACUGGGUAUAGGGGCGAAAGACUAAUCGAACCAUCUAGUAGCUGGUUCCUCCCGAAGUUUCCCUCAGGAUAGUUGGGAUUUGUUCAGUUAUAUUAUUUAAAGCGAAUGUUUAAAGGAAUUGGGGGCUUGUUUGCCUUUGACCUAUUCUCAAACUUUUAAUGUGUAUUAUUGCUGGAAUAACACAGAGUAUUGCAUGCAAUGAAAAAAUCAAGUGGGCCAUUUUUGGUAAGCAGAACUGGCGAUGAGGGAUGAACCUAAUAGUGGGUAAACAUGCUUAAUUUCCUGCCUAUGUGAUACCAGAAAGGGUGUUGGUUCAUUUUAACAGCAGGACGGUGGUCAUGAAGUGAAUCCCGUAAGUUU
RNAcentral lists this ribosomal RNA (1754 nucleotides) under Ostreopsis cf. ovata. Its description in RNAcentral is "eukaryotic LSU rRNA". The stretch from base 456 to 1754 matches the Rfam family "Eukaryotic large subunit ribosomal RNA", at positions 1 to 1279 of the family's 3401-position model. The record is from RNAcentral. Lineage: Eukaryota; Dinophyceae; Peridiniales; Ostreopsidaceae.